GACGUAGGGUGCGAGCGUUGUCCGGAUUUAUUGGGCGUAAAGGGCGCGUAGGCGGUCAGCACAAGUCAGUUGUGAAAUCUCCGGGCUUAACUCGGAAAGGUCAACUGAUACUGUGCGACUAGAGUGCAGAAGGGGCAACUGGAAUUCUCGGUGUAGCGGUGAAAUGCGUAGAUAUCGAGAGGAACACCUGCGGCGAAGGCGGGUUGCUGGGCUGACACUGACGCUGAUGCGCGAAAGCGUGGGGAGCAAACAGG
RNAcentral lists this ribosomal RNA (254 nucleotides) under uncultured bacterium. RNAcentral's name for it is "partial 16S ribosomal RNA". It matches the Rfam family "Bacterial small subunit ribosomal RNA", at positions 524 to 776 of the family's 1533-position model. The record is from RNAcentral.